This 498-nucleotide ribosomal RNA is filed under the name uncultured Glomeromycotina. RNAcentral describes it as "partial small subunit ribosomal RNA". It matches the Rfam family "Eukaryotic small subunit ribosomal RNA", at positions 591 to 1092 of the family's 1831-position model. The record is from RNAcentral. Lineage: Eukaryota; Fungi; Glomeromycota.
CCAAUAGCGUAUAUUAAAGUUGCUGCAGUUAAAAAGCUCGUAGUUGAAUUUCGGGAUCAAUUUGUCGGUCGUGCCUCGGUACGUACUGGCUUAUUGGUUUCUCCCUUCUGACGAACCAUGAUGUCAUUUAUUUGGUGUUGUGGGAAAUCAGGACUGUUACUUUGAAAAAAUUAGAGUGUUUAAAGCAGGCUCACGCUUGAAUACAUUAGCAUGGAAUAAUGAAAUAGGACGUUUGACUCUAUUUUGUUGGUUUCUAGGAUCGACGUAAUGAUUAAUAGGGAUAGUUGGGGACAUUAGUAUUCAAUUGUCAGAGGUGAAAUUCUUGGAUUUAUUGAAGACUAACUACUGCGAAAGCAUUUGUCAAGGAUGUUUUCAUUAAUCAAGAACGAAAGUUAGGGGAUCGAAGACGAUCAGAUACCGUCGUAGUCUUAACCAUAAACUAUGCCGACUAGGGAUCGGAUGAUGUUAAUUUUUUAAUGACUCAUUCGGCGCCUUACG